Molecule: long non-coding RNA, 390 nt
Organism: Trematomus bernacchii (emerald rockcod)
Lineage: Eukaryota; Metazoa; Chordata; Actinopteri; Perciformes; Nototheniidae
Exons: 2
Source: RefSeq, a predicted model, not a curated record
GUUUUAAAGAUAUUUCAGUCUAAAUGUCAACAUGUAGGUUAUCCUUCAGGUUGUUUUUAUUACCUAAUCCAGUAAGACAUUUAAUUCUCUUUGUUCAAAAUCUAUAACCACUUUGUUUCCUGUCAUUGAAGUAUCUGAUAUCACAUAUUUACAUGUAUUACUCACUUAAAAGAUCAUUCAAUAUAAAAGUGCUAUUGUCAACAAGUAACAGCAUCAUAUAUGAUCUUUCUUUUACUCAGAUCUUCUAAUCUUUUGUUUCUGUGAAGUAUCUGAUUCUUUAUAUUUACGUAAUACAAAACACCAUUCAUUCUUUAUACUGUUCAUUUCUUUAUAAUGUUAACAUGUAUACUUACUACUGUUUACUAUUUCAAUAAAGAGACCACAUCUGCA